CCCGUUUUGCGGUUCCUGCAACUGCUGCAGACGCCACAGUUGAUGAGCCUCUUGCAGGGAACGCAGACCCCACACCUUUUCCUCUUCUUCUUGGCUGGGUUGGCUCCGCCAGCUCCCCCUGAGGAGGACGAGGAGGAGGAGGAAUGAUUCUGCGGGCAGUCUGCCAGAUUGGCAAUUUGAAACGCACUGUCUGUGACGGCUGCUGAGGCUGCUGCGGGGGAGUGAAGGGCUGUCAUGACGAUGACCCCUGGAGGAUGCUGAGGAUUAGUUAACUACAGCUUGCAGAGAAUUUUACAUCAAAGAAUUCUAAAGAUCUUUUUACAAUGUAAAAUGGGAAUUGUUAUGCGCUUCACUUGACUGUACUUCUCCUGACUGAAUAUCUUCUGGAAAGUCAUGUAACAGAUUAACUGCUCCACAUUCUUAAGGCCUUCUAAGAAAUUUCCUCCCCAAUUCACUUGGGUCACCAUCUCUGAGCUCUCUAGAAGAGGGCAUUUUCCAAAUCUCAAGCAAAUUUGAACACCUCAUAAAAUAAUACAGGCAUCUCUUACAAAGGUGGUGCUCCUGCCAGUUAAUUGGGCUCAGUUCGAUGUUUUCUGUUCUCUGCAAGAUGUCAGUGAAGGCUGGGGGCUCGACUGGGCUGCAGCGUCCAUGGCGGCUCGCUCAGGUGUCUGGUGGCUGAUGCUGUUGGCUGUGAGCUCAGCUGGAGCUGCAUGUCUCUUCAGUUUCCCACUAUGUGAUCUCUCCAUGUUGUUGCUUUCUGAGAAGGAGUACCAUUGACUAAACAUUUCGAGAGUAAGGAAGCAGGAGCUGAAUGUGUCUUAAGGUCUCAUUUCUGCCACAUUCUUUUGAACAAAAGCCAGCCCAUAUUCAAGGGGAGAAGAAAUAAGCUGCUCUUCUUGAUGUGAUAAGUGGUUCAUGUAGGGGAGGAGUUGUUGAGCCACCUUUUAAGACUGACUACCAACAUACAAAAAAUUAACUUCCAAUAUUUUCUUCACACAUGACUCCCUUUUCUAUAUUACUCCUGCACAUUUUCCUUCUAUGUGUGAGAAUGUAAAAUCAGUGCUCUUUUUCUCUGUACUAACCUAAACACAAAAGUUGGUUGUGUUUGGUCUCUAUCCUGGAUGACUCUGUUAUGUGAUGUUGAAGACCUGAUGU
Choloepus didactylus (southern two-toed sloth) is the source of this 1155-nucleotide long non-coding RNA. RefSeq lists it as uncharacterized. The transcript is spliced from 6 exons. Lineage: Eukaryota; Metazoa; Chordata; Mammalia; Pilosa; Megalonychidae. The record is from RefSeq and is a predicted model, not a curated record.